This 77-nucleotide small RNA is filed under the name Novosphingobium sp. CECT 9465. RNAcentral's name for it is "suhB". It matches the Rfam family "Makes More Granules Regulator RNA (mmgR)". From Rfam's summary of the family: SuhB later renamed mmgR (makes more granules regulator) was a putative non-coding RNA found multiple times in the Agrobacterium tumefaciens genome and related alpha-proteobacteria. Other non-coding RNAs uncovered in the same analysis include: speF, ybhL, metA, and serC. The record is from RNAcentral. Lineage: Bacteria; Pseudomonadati; Pseudomonadota; Alphaproteobacteria; Sphingomonadales; Sphingomonadaceae.
AGGAGGUGCCUUUCAGGCAUCCUCUCCCAAACUUCCAAAGGGGGCCAGCGCAAUCUGGCCCCCUUUUUUUGUCGAUU